RNAcentral lists this ribosomal RNA (467 nucleotides) under uncultured bacterium. RNAcentral's name for it is "partial 16S ribosomal RNA". It matches the Rfam family "Bacterial small subunit ribosomal RNA", at positions 28 to 506 of the family's 1533-position model. The record is from RNAcentral.
GACGAACGCUGGCGGCGUGCUUAACACAUGCAAGUCGAACGGAAAGGCCCUGCUUUUGUGGGGUGCUCGAGUGGCGAACGGGUGAGUAACACGUGAGUAACCUGCCCUUGACUUUGGGAUAACUUCAGGAAACUGGGGCUAAUACCGGAUAGGAGCUCCUGCUGCAUGGUGGGGGUUGGAAAGUUUCGGCGGUUGGGGAUGGACUCGCGGCUUAUCAGCUUGUUGGUGGGGUAGUGGCUUACCAAGGCUUUGACGGGUAGCCGGCCUGAGAGGGUGACCGGCCACAUUGGGACUGAGAUACGGCCCAGACUCCUACGGGAGGCAGCAGGGGGGAAUAUUGCACAAGGGGCGGAAGCCUGAGGCAGCAACGCCGCGGGGGGGAUGACGGCCUUGGGGUUGUAAACCGCUUUCGCCUGGGACGAAGCGUGAGUGACGGUAAUGGGUAAAGAAGCACCGGCUAACUACGU